This 452-nucleotide ribosomal RNA is filed under the name uncultured Sphingobacteriales bacterium. RNAcentral's name for it is "bacterial SSU rRNA". It matches the Rfam family "Bacterial small subunit ribosomal RNA", at positions 926 to 1382 of the family's 1533-position model. The record is from RNAcentral. Lineage: Bacteria; Pseudomonadati; Bacteroidota; Sphingobacteriia; Sphingobacteriales.
CAAGCGGUGGAGCAUGUGGUUUAAUUCGAUGAUACGCGAGGAACCUUACCUGGGCUCAAAUGUAUGUUGACGUAUUCUGAAAGGGAUACUUCUUCGGACAAUAUCAAGGUGCUGCAUGGUUGUCGUCAGCUCGUGCCGUGAGGUGUCGGGUUAAGUCCCAUAACGAGCGCAACCCUAUCAUUAGUUGCCAUCAGGUCAAGCUGGGGACUCUAAUGAAACUGCCUACGCAAGUAGUGAGGAAGGUGGGGAUGACGUCAAAUCAGCACGGCCCUUACGUCCAGGGCUACACACGUGCUACAAUGGCCGGUACAAAGGGCAGCUACCUGGUGACAGGAUGCAAAUCUCCAAAGUCGGUCUCAGUUCGGAUCGGAGUCUGCAACCCGACUCCGUGAGGUUGGAUUCGCUAGUAAUCGCGCAUCAGCCAUGGCGCGGUGAAUACGUUCCCGGGCCUU